GACGAACGCUGGCGGCGUGCUUAACACAUGCAAGUCGAACGGUGAAGCGCCUUCCUUUUUGGUGGGUGUGGAUGAGUGGCGAACGGGUGAUUAACACGUGAGUAACCUGCCCCCUUCUUCUGGAUAACCGCAUGAAAGUGUGGCUAAUACGGGAUAUUCUGGGUCUGUCGCAUGAUUGGUCUGGGACAGAUAUUGUUUCGGUUGGGGAUGGGCUCGCGGCCUAUCAGCUUGUUGGUGGGGUGAUGGCCUACCAAGGCGGUGACGGGUAGCCGGCCUGAGAGGGUGGACGGUCACACUGGGACUGAGACACGGCGCAGACUCCUACGGGAGGCAGCAGGGGGGAAUAUUGCACAAGGGGCGCAAGGCUGAUGCAGCGACGCCGCGUGAGGGAUGGAGGCCUUCGGGUUGUGAACCUCUUUCGCCAGUGAAGCAGGCCUGCCUCGUUUGUGGGUGGGUUGACGGUAGCUGGAUAAGAAGCGCCGGCUAACUACGUG
Molecule: ribosomal RNA, 494 nt
Filed under: uncultured bacterium
Lineage: Bacteria
Description: partial 16S ribosomal RNA
Rfam family: Bacterial small subunit ribosomal RNA
Source: RNAcentral